GACGAACGCUGGCGGCGUGCUUAACACAUGCAAGUCGAACGGAAAGGCCCUGCUUUUGUGGGGUGCUCGAUUGGCGAACGGGUGAGUAACACGCGAGUAACCUGCCCUUGACUUUGGGAUAACUUCAGGAAACUGGGGCUAAUACCGGAUAGGAGCUCCUGCUGCAUGGUGGGGGUUGGAAAGUUUCGGCGGUUGGGGAUGGACUCGCGGCUUAUCAGCUUGUUGGUGGGGUAGUGGCUUACCAAGGCUUUGACGGGUAGCCGGCCUGAGAGGGUGACCGGCCACAUUGGGACUGAGAUACGGCCCAGACUCCUACGGGAGGCAGCAGUGGGGAAUAUUGCACAAUGGGCGGAAGCCUGAUGCAGCAACGCCGCGUGCGGGAUGACGGCCUUCGGGUUGUAAACCGCUUUCGCCUGUGACGAAGCGUGAGUGACGGUAAUGGGUAAAGAAGCACCGGCUAACUACGUG
Molecule: ribosomal RNA, 468 nt
Filed under: uncultured bacterium
Lineage: Bacteria
Description: partial 16S ribosomal RNA
Rfam family: Bacterial small subunit ribosomal RNA
Source: RNAcentral